UCAGGACGAACGCUGGCGGCGUGCCUAACACAUGCAAGUCGAGCGGGGACGAUACGACGGAGUCAAAGUUUCGGAUGGAGACGAAGAUGUAUGUUCUAGCGGCGGACGGGUGAGUAACGCGUGAGCAACCUGUCCCUUACAGGGGGAUAACACAGCGAAAGUUGUACUAAUACCGCAUGAGACCACGGGAGGACAUCCUCCAGGGGUCAAAGGAGCAAUCCGGUAAGGGGUGGGCUCGCGUCCGAUUAGAUAGUUGGUGAGGUAACGGCCCACCAAGUCGACGAUCGGUAGCCGACCUGAGAGGGUGAUCGGCCACAUUGGGACUGAGACACGGCCCAAACUCCUACGGGAGGCAGCAGUGGGGAAUAUUGGGCAAUGGGGGGAAACCCUGACCCAGCAACGCCGCGUGAGGGAAGAAGGUUUUCGGAUCGUAAACCUCUGUCCUUGGUGAAGAGGAAGAGACGGUAGCCAAGGAGGAAGCCCCGGCUAACUACGUGCCAGCCGCGGC
Molecule: ribosomal RNA, 508 nt
Filed under: uncultured bacterium
Lineage: Bacteria
Description: bacterial SSU rRNA
Rfam family: Bacterial small subunit ribosomal RNA
Source: RNAcentral